CAAGGCAGCACAUCUGAAGUGCAUUUUCACAUACUGCGGACUAAUCCUAAGGCUUUUAAACUUGUCAUUCUGAGGUCGGGCUGUGCAGAUGAGACCACUUGCAAGUUUACCAUCAGCUUCUCCACACAAGAGGCUUUCUAAACUGAACCAGGACAAGCCUCCAGAUAUGAAGGAACACAAAUCACUGGUCCUUAGCAGAUGGCAGAAAAACGGCACUGGAUAAUUGAAAAUCUUGAAGUGGAUCAAUAUUUAGAAGCCCAAGGUUACAAGAAGUGUGACAUUACUAUUAACAUAGAGGUAUGAUGCAUUGCAUACACAGACAGAAUGACUUCUUAUUUGAAUAUAAAUGACUAUAGUAUCCAAGUGUUUGCUUCCCAGUGAAAGAAAGAUGCAGACAUUUUUACAUGGAGACCCACAGCUGCAUACCUCCAGUCAUAUGUAUCCAUUUACACGCAUGCACAUAGUGAGUAAAAUAUGUGGGGACCCUGAAUGUACCAUGAAGCCUCAACAUGCCAUCUCAGUCCACCCCAGUUCUACCAUGUCCCCCAAAGCACCCUCAUAGCAGUUACCUCUGGCCUGUUAAAAAUGAUAUCAGCACAUGGAGGGCGAACAUUAGCAUUUGCAUUUUAUUGGAAGUGGCGAGAUUUAGAGCGGAGGGUAUAUCAGCUCUGAGCAGACAGAAUUAGUUAACAAUGCAUUACCUGCCUUUUAUGGCGGCUAUAACUCUCGGAGCUGGUGGGGAGAGGAGAUGAAGGCAGGAGGAAGGAGGGGCACACGGAGGUUGGCGCUGCAAGC
Long non-coding RNA from Periophthalmus magnuspinnatus, 795 nucleotides. RefSeq lists it as uncharacterized. The transcript is spliced from 3 exons. Lineage: Eukaryota; Metazoa; Chordata; Actinopteri; Gobiiformes; Gobiidae. The record is from RefSeq and is a predicted model, not a curated record.